CUCACGAUCCUUAGCUCCCUGAACUCGCCUCAACCUUCUGAUCAUCAUUCUAGAAGGAUCGCACCUGGAGUGAUCGGAUUCACGUUCGUCGGAGCUCGCCGGAUUCUGGAAAUUUUCCACCACCACCGAAGCUUUUGAUAGAAGGAAUCGAAGCCUGAAAUUGAAGUUUUGACGUCGAAAUCAAGCCUUGCCGGAUUCUGCAAAAUUCUGGAAUUUUUCCGACCACCGAAGCUUUCGAUCGGUAUAUCUCGAGCUACAGACCAUAUUUUUCUGUGAUUCUUGAACCAGUGAGUUCUUCUUGAGUUUCUUAACAACUCUUCAGAAGGAAUCGAAGCCUUAAAUUGACGUUUUUACGUCGAAUUGGAGCUCGCCGUUUUCUGCAGUUUCUCGCCGGUUUCUGGAAAAUUCCGGCCACCUUCAUACUGUUCAAGGUGAUCGACGGUUUGAUUUGGCGGACGAUUCGUGAAAUUGUAUUUUGAGCUGUUAAGAAGACGCAGCGGGAAUUUAGAGCGGGUAAUCCUACAGGUCAGGAGAACCAGGACGGUGAUCGGGCUGCUUAGAGUAGUGUUAUGUGAAUUACAGCAUUAUAUUGUGAGGUUUGUUAUGCUCAUUUAGAGCUUUACGAUUUUACUUUGUAAGAGUGAAUUGUAAUAAUUAACUCGAGGUUUUCGAGUUUUGUGUUGA
Molecule: long non-coding RNA, 684 nt
Organism: Rosa rugosa (rugosa rose)
Lineage: Eukaryota; Viridiplantae; Streptophyta; Magnoliopsida; Rosales; Rosaceae
Exons: 4
Source: RefSeq, a predicted model, not a curated record